CUUAUAAUGAUAAACUUCUUCCAUGGCUGACUUCAAGCUCUCAAUACAAUGUUACUGAAUGCAAGAUGGAAAGAAAAGUGCAGAAUCCACUCUUGAGCCUCCUGAGGACAUCACUGGUUUAAUACUAAUUCAAGUAACGGGCAGAAGAACUUUUAGAGCCCAUCCAUCAUGUCAGUGAAAAAUGUGGCUGGCAGUGAAGUUUUGGAGAGUAAGAUUGCAAGUACACGAACUUUUGCUGGGAAAUGUGUUUGUUCUUAAGAGCUUUCAUCACAAGGUUUCUUUUGAAGCUCAUCUAGCAAAUCAGAUACUAAGCAAUUGUAAUGGAAGAUUAAAAGCAAUUUCAUCACGUUAGAGCAAAAGAACUAUUCAAAAUUUACUUACAAUUGUUCCACUAAUGUACCUGACACUAAGAAACCUCCUGUGUAGGUUGAAAGUCUUCUGUCUUCCCCCAAGAAUACCACGGUUAUUGUUCAGAAUUGUUCAAUACCCAAAGUAUCAAUUGGCCUGGACGCAAUGGUUAUUUUCCUUGAUCUACAUUGUGAAAUUCAUAUAAUUACAUUUUAAUUCUUCUAAAACAGUCUUUUUUCAGCUUAUGUUAAUUGGCUAUGCUAUCUAGCCUAGUUCAUUAUUUGCAUAGUUUACAAAUACUUUAUCAUUUGAGGCUUUGGUAUCUGGAUAAUAAUCAUUUACAUUUCUAAAGUUCACAUCAACACUGGCUAUUCUUUUUAAUGUAUUUUUAAAAGUCUCU
RNAcentral lists this long non-coding RNA (748 nucleotides) under Homo sapiens (human). RNAcentral describes it as "HSALNT0114387". The record is from RNAcentral. Lineage: Eukaryota; Metazoa; Chordata; Mammalia; Primates; Hominidae.